AUUCACGUGGUUAUUUGUCUGGAUGAAUUUUUACAUCAGAACAGUAAUUUUAAUAGUACGUAGGUCCUCAAAUCGUAGAUUUACGACCUUAGACGUACAAAUUUUCAACGCGUUAAAAAAGUCAAAUUAAUUUAUCGAAACGCCAUUUUGUAUUUGGCAAGGGUGGGAGAACCGAAGACCGAUCGGUCAAGUGCGUAAUGGACGUUGCACAAUCGCGAUACAAACGUUUUCCUUGGUGAAAAAGCAGCUCGUAAUUGUUACAGGAACGAUUUUAGGACGAAAUUCGACGAAUAGAAACCCAACAGGGAAAAAUUGACAGUGUUUAUCUCGUCAGCCAUGAUAGCAUUCGAGGACACCAUUUACGCGCCAAAACAUGUCACCUACCCAACUGUUGAACGCGUGACGGUCAAUGGAUGCAACGAAAUUUUUCAUCAUCAAUUUGUCAAGUUUUCAGGUUGCAACUCCAUAAAAUUGGAUGAUCCUGCGGGGCUCUCUGUCUUCUGGACCUUACAUUGAUCCAUCUUGCGGAGGAUCAACAGAACUAUAGGUUGCAUCGAUCACUCUUCAGGGCUACAAGAAUCGUUAACUCCUACAUUCAGGGAGUGUCUUAAGAGGGAUCAAUGAAACUAUAAACUAGACGAAUUGUAUGGCACUGCUAGAAGGAAUAAUAAUAAAAGAAAUGCGGGUCCUAUUGGUUACAUUGCCAUAGGACCCUCCACCCUCCCACCCUUUUUUGUCCGAUCUCUACUUUUCGUCCACAAGAAGAUGGCACGUGAUAUAGGAAGGAGGCACCAAGGGAUCUUCGUUUGCUCCGCCUGACCCCACUUUUAACGUCUAGUUUGAUCUCCACCCAUAGGUUCUGGAGGCUAUGCCACUGCUUCGAUGUCAUCGUCACCGCAUCGCUCUGUUCCAGUCACACUUGACCGAUUCAUUUGCUUUCUUCGUCAAGCUAUUCGACCAAUUACGAAAAUACUUGGGAUGCGAAGGGAUAUUGGGUAGUGGGACAUAGAUCUCUACAAGUUUUAGCCAUGCCAUCUUCUCGCGGACGAAUAGUAAAAAUGUAGAAAUAGGGCAUUAUACACUAAGGUACAGCCUUGGCUUCCUAAGACCUAUCGCUGUCCCAUUCCACAUUUUCCUCCCCUUGAAAGGCACUGGACCCCAGGAAUGACCAACGAGACUUCCAACCUACCAGGAACCAAACUGAAUCUUUGAACCACCGUAUCGCGGAGUUGAACGAGCAAAGGACGAGUGACGUAACACGUGGUGGCUGAUCGAUCACGUCGGCAUCUGAUCGAUGUUCGGUGCGGCGAUCACAUCGUGGCUGGAAAAAAUCGGGUGAUCGAUGAAGGCGGGAAUAAAAGUCGCGAUAACUGUGGCCUGGAAGGAUAACCGGUGAAAAAGCGAGGCUCGAAAAGCGACGACAAUAAAAGGAGAGCCGGAUAAAUAAUGUAUCCGCGGUAUAAUCUGUGGCGGAGCUCUCCUUUUGUCGUACGAUGCCGAGAAAGGAGCAGUAGGUCAACCGUGGCCAGCUGUUUUUCUCGCUGAUGUGGCCAGCGGGACGGAUAGGAACCCUGACCUCCUCUAAUUCCAUGAAAAACGCGGUCACCUGCGACGUCUCGCUAUGAACGUGAUUACAGAUCACAAAUCUUUGGAAUUUUUCGCUUAUCUCCCUUGGCUAAUCGCCUUCGAGUGAUUCGUGCAACGAAUACAGAGUAUAAUUUUUGAAGAUCAUCAGGUGUAAUUAUAAAUUACACGCUUUGAGGAAAUUGUUCAAACAAUGAUUGUUACUGCCUUAAACGCUCCCAGCAAUUACACACCUAUCGUAAAACGCAACAGCCACGAUUGUAAAGCAUGCAACAAAGUGUCAGUCGUUUCGCGUCAGAAAGAGAACUAAUGCGGAUGAAUUCUGACAUCAUAGAUCAAGACUGUGCCCUGUGAGUACCCAAUGUUCUGCCCCAGGGCAACCGAUAGUGCCUCCUAACGCAAAGGGUACAAAGUGCCUGGGUCUGCUCCACUUGUGCUCCGCUUCGAAAGUACGACGCAUCGCCUCGCUGGAUUUAUGAUCGACCCGUUCCACUUGCGCUUCGCUCGUGGAGGAAACAGUUGCGCGAAAAAAAUGGAUCGAUCGUUCGACGAACGAGCCUCUUGUUGAGAAGCAGAGGAUCCAGGAGGGAAAAACGUGUCAAGAACGGAAAAACGAAAAGCAGACGCAUCUCGAAAGACCUAACAGAGCUGCGGAGUGGAUUAAUUGUCUGGCAUGUUAAUUGAUCGAACUGAAACGUUCGUGGAAAAAGAACGAUCAGGAUUGAACGCCAAAUUCGUAGGGCGACCUCGUGAAAAUAACUGGAAAUAUAAACGCGACCUCAGCAUUCCUCUGUAUUUUUUAGCAGAAGAAUAAUAGUAAAGAUUAAGUUUCCUCGAGGUCUUUAAGUGAAUUCUAAUUGUUUUUUUAUUGUGUAACAUAAAGAAACCAGGUAAGUACAUUUUUAUUGAAUAUUUCUUAAAAUAAGAAUGCGUUCUUGGUCUGUAACACCGUGCGUCCUCGCCGAAGAAUCAAGAAGGGCCUAGGAAGAACCUAAGGAGAUCUUAAGAAGACACACCAAUACGUGACAUUAAUCGUCAAAGCAUUAAGUCAGAAUUUGUUAAAAUGGUAAAAAUAUUUUACUCGAAUCAAUGACUUAAUGCUUUGACUAUGUAAGUUUAUAAUAAUUGUAUCUUCUAUUUAUAAACGUGUUUAAUAAAUUAACUGAUAUUUGAAGAU
Osmia lignaria (orchard mason bee) is the source of this 2761-nucleotide long non-coding RNA. RefSeq lists it as uncharacterized. NCBI's taxonomy places the organism in Eukaryota, Metazoa, Arthropoda, Insecta, Hymenoptera, Megachilidae. The record is from RefSeq and is a predicted model, not a curated record.